GACGAACGCUGGCGGCGUGCUUAACACAUGCAAGUCGAACGGAAAGGCCCUGCUUUUGUGGGGUGCUCGAGUGGCGAACGGGUGAGUAACACGUGAGUAACCUGCCCUUGACUUUGGGAUAACUUCAGGAAACUGGGGCUAAUACCGGAUAGGAGCUCCUGCUGCAUGGUGGGGGUUGGAAAGUUUCGGCGGUUGGGGAUGGACUCGCGGCUUAUCAGCUUGUUGGUGGGGUAGUGGCUUACCAAGGCUUUGACGGGUAGCCGGCCUGAGAGGGUGACCGGCCACAUUGGGACUGAGAUACGGCCCAGACUCCUACGGGGGGCAGCAGUAGGGAAUAUUGCACAAUGGGCGGAAGCCUGAUGCAGCAACGCCGCGUGCGGGAUGACGGCCUUCGGGUUGUAAACCGCUUUCGCCUGUGACGAAGCGUGAGUGACGGUAAUGGGUAAAGAAGCACCGGCUAACUACGUG
This 468-nucleotide ribosomal RNA is filed under the name uncultured bacterium. RNAcentral describes it as "partial 16S ribosomal RNA". It matches the Rfam family "Bacterial small subunit ribosomal RNA", at positions 28 to 507 of the family's 1533-position model. The record is from RNAcentral.